This 1767-nucleotide ribosomal RNA is filed under the name Triticum aestivum (bread wheat). RNAcentral's name for it is "partial small subunit ribosomal RNA". Lineage: Eukaryota; Viridiplantae; Streptophyta; Magnoliopsida; Poales; Poaceae. The record is from RNAcentral.
AUGGAAGCCGCCGCCAAAUCCCAUGGCCCCCCUGCCCCUCGUCCCUCCCGUCGGGCGAAGCAGCCAAGCACCACCUCUCGCGAGGGCGAAGGAGGAGGAGGAGGCGAUAGAAGGAGAAGACCAUCUCGGCGUGGCGGUACCUCGAAGCGAGGAAGAGGGUGGCAUCAUCAUCUUCUGCGACCUUGCUCCAGCCGGGCCCCCAAUUGGGGGGCGACGCGCGCACGCACAGCGGCGGCAGCGCUCAGUACCACCAACCAAGAUUUGUCAUCAACCUCCGCCGCUCAGAUCCAGAUACUCUCCUCUCGGGGAUGUGAUGAUGAUUCGAAACUAAAGGGGGCACUUUCCCCCUCAACCUGCGCUCAGAUCCAGAUCGUCCCCUCCCGGGGGUAUGACGAUGAAUCGAGUCCAAGGAAGAAACAUCUGCUGCGCCCUAGUCUCUCCAUCAUCCAGAAGCGAGGAAGAAGGCGGUCUCAUCAUCAUCUUCUGCGACCUUGCUCCAGCCUGCCCGACGAUUCGAAUAUACCAGGGCAGAAACAUAUGCUGCGCCCUUGUCUCUCCAUCCAGCCGCCCCCAAAUUAUUACUGUUGGGGAGCAAAACGCUCGCCGACGAACAACAACAACUGGAGGGACUGGUCCAAUCUAGGCGAUGGGCCGGCAGGACUGAUCGCCGAGCUCGUUCUCGCAUAUGACGUCGCCGACUAUCUCCGCUUCCGUGCCGUGUGCCGUCCAUGGAGGCAGUGUUCCACAGAACCACGCUCCCACGACGGGCUCGACCGCCGGUUCUAUCCUUGGCGGUGGGUCCUGCUCCGUGAACCACUCGCUGCUCCCAACCGCCGUUGCUUCCUGAACUCCUCAACCGGUGAGUGCAUCCAACUGGAUCUCCCGGAGCUCCUUGACCAUGAGCUGCUCACCGUCACCCCGGAGGGCCUCCUCCUCCUGCUCCACGACCGCAACCACGUCCGCCUGCUCAACCCGCUCACUCGUCACCUCACAGAGCUACCACCGCUCACCACGCUGCUUCCCUCCAAGGACCAUGUCAUGCUUUCCCGUUUCAAGAUAGACGACUUGGCGUCCUGCUCGGGCAUUGCUAGUGAUGAUUCAACAGUGGUGCUCUGCUUCAAUAGGUUCCGCAUGCUUGGCAUGGCCAAGCCUGGUGAUGACCACUGGGUGUUGCUGAAGUACAACAAUGAUGGGAUUGCAAAAACGCCCUUGGUGUUUGCAGGGCGCUUCUACCAUGUUAACGUCAAUGGUGUCAUGGUGCUGCAAAUCAUUCCAAAUCAGCCACCGCGGCUGGAGGUGGCUGCCAAGCUGAAUAUGCAUGUCUCUCCAAUUUCGCAAAGUAUGCACCUCGUCAACAAUUUUGGUGAGCUGAUGCUGGUGCACCGUCAGAUUGUACCAGUGACAUCGCGGAAUAAAUCGGGUUAUCGGUACAACAUCUAUCGAGUGAAUUUGGAUACCGGGACACUAUUCCCGGUCAAGAGGUUGGGCAGUGGCACGGGGCGAGCGAUGUUCUUGGGAAUGUAUUGCUCUUUCACAUUGUCUCCAGAUGUUUUUCCCCCUGGCUCCUUUAGCGCUGACACCAUCUACCCGAGCUUUGACUUUGCCGAGAGAAGGCUGUUAAAAGUUGAAGCGUAUCAUCUCACCGAUGGACUGUUAAAAGCUGAAGCCUAUCAUCUCGCCGAUGGCCGCGUCGAACAACCAUCUAGCUUGGUGCAGCGGCCACCUUGUCAAUUACGGUUGAUCCUUAAUUUACCACAUUUCUUUUGA